Molecule: ribosomal RNA, 2615 nt
Filed under: Escherichia coli
Lineage: Bacteria; Pseudomonadati; Pseudomonadota; Gammaproteobacteria; Enterobacterales; Enterobacteriaceae
Description: partial 23S ribosomal RNA
Rfam family: Bacterial large subunit ribosomal RNA
Source: RNAcentral
GUUAAGCGACUAAGCGUACACGGUGGAUGCCCUGGCAGUCAGAGGCGAUGAAGGACGUGCUAAUCUGCGAUAAGCGUCGGUAAGGUGAUAUGAACCGUUAUAACCGGCGAUUUCCGAAUGGGGAAACCCAGUGUGAUUCGUCACACUAUCAUUAACUGAAUCCAUAGGUUAAUGAGGCGAACCGGGGGAACUGAAACAUCUAAGUACCCCGAGGAAAAGAAAUCAACCGAGAUUCCCCCAGUAGCGGCGAGCGAACGGGGAGCAGCCCAGAGCCUGAAUCAGUGUGUGUGUUAGUGGAAGCGUCUGGAAAGGCGCGCGAUACAGGGUGACAGCCCCGUACACAAAAAUGCACAUACUGUGAGCUCGAUGAGUAGGGCGGGACACGUGGUAUCCUGUCUGAAUAUGGGGGGACCAUCCUCCAAGGCUAAAUACUCCUGACUGACCGAUAGUGAACCAGUACCGUGAGGGAAAGGCGAAAAGAACCCCGGCGAGGGGAGUGAAAAAGAACCUGAAACCGUGUACGUACAAGCAGUGGGAGCACGCUUAGGCGUGUGACUGCGUACCUUUUGUAUAAUGGGUCAGCGACUUAUAUUCUGUAGCAAGGUUAACCGAAUAGGGGAGCCGAAGGGAAACCGAGUCUUAACUGGGCGUUAAGUUGCAGGGUAUAGACCCGAAACCCGGUGAUCUAGCCAUGGGCAGGUUGAAGGUUGGGUAACACUAACUGGAGGACCGAACCGACUAAUGUUGAAAAAUUAGCGGAUGACUUGUGGCUGGGGGUGAAAGGCCAAUCAAACCGGGAGAUAGCUGGUUCUCCCCGAAAGCUAUUUAGGUAGCGCCUCGUGAAUUCAUCUCCGGGGGUAGAGCACUGUUUCGGCAAGGGGGUCAUCCCGACUUACCAACCCGAUGCAAACUGCGAAUACCGGAGAAUGUUAUCACGGGAGACACACGGCGGGUGCUAACGUCCGUCGUGAAGAGGGAAACAACCCAGACCGCCAGCUAAGGUCCCAAAGUCAUGGUUAAGUGGGAAACGAUGUGGGAAGGCCCAGACAGCCAGGAUGUUGGCUUAGAAGCAGCCAUCAUUUAAAGAAAGCGUAAUAGCUCACUGGUCGAGUCGGCCUGCGCGGAAGAUGUAACGGGGCUAAACCAUGCACCGAAGCUGCGGCAGCGACGCUGAUGCGUUGUUGGGUAGGGGAGCGUUCUGUAAGCCUGUGAAGGUGUGCUGUGAGGCAUGCUGGAGGUAUCAGAAGUGCGAAUGCUGACAUAAGUAACGAUAAAGCGGGUGAAAAGCCCGCUCGCCGGAAGACCAAGGGUUCCUGUCCAACGUUAAUCGGGGCAGGGUGAGUCGACCCCUAAGGCGAGGCCGAAAGGCGUAGUCGAUGGGAAACAGGUUAAUAUUCCUGUACUUGGUGUUACUGCGAAGGGGGGACGGAGAAGGCUAUGUUGGCCGGGCGACGGUUGUCCCGGUUUAAGCGUGUAGGCUGGUUUUCCAGGCAAAUCCGGAAAAUCAAGGCUGAGGCGUGAUGACGAGGCACUACGGUGCUGAAGCAACAAAUGCCCUGCUUCCAGGAAAAGCCUCUAAGCAUCAGGUAACAUCAAAUCGUACCCCAAACCGACACAGGUGGUCAGGUAGAGAAUACCAAGGCGCUUGAGAGAACUCGGGUGAAGGAACUAGGCAAAAUGGUGCCGUAACUUCGGGAGAAGGCACGCUGAUAUGUAGGUGAAGCGACUUGCUCGUGGAGCUGAAAUCAGUCGAAGAUACCAGCUGGCUGCAACUGUUUAUUAAAAACACAGCACUGUGCAAACACGAAAGUGGACGUAUACGGUGUGACGCCUGCCCGGUGCCGGAAGGUUAAUUGAUGGGGUCAGCGCAAGCGAAGCUCUUGAUCGAAGCCCCGGUAAACGGCGGCCGUAACUAUAACGGUCCUAAGGUAGCGAAAUUCCUUGUCGGGUAAGUUCCGACCUGCACGAAUGGCGUAAUGAUGGCCAGGCUGUCUCCACCCGAGACUCAGUGAAAUUGAACUCGCUGUGAAGAUGCAGUGUACCCGCGGCAAGACGGAAAGACCCCGUGAACCUUUACUAUAGCUUGACACUGAACAUUGAGCCUUGAUGUGUAGGAUAGGUGGGAGGCUUUGAAGUGUGGACGCCAGUCUGCAUGGAGCCGGCCUUGAAAUACCACCCUUUAAUGUUUGAUGUUCUAACGUUGACCCGUGAUCCGGGUUGCGGACAGUGUCUGGUGGGUAGUUUGACUGGGGCGGUCUCCUCCUAAAGAGUAACGGAGGAGCACGAAGGUUGGCUAAUCCUGGUCGGACAUCAGGAGGUUAGUGCAAUGGCAUAAGCCAGCUUGACUGCGAGCGUGACGGCGCGAGCAGGUGCGAAAGCAGGUCAUAGUGAUCCGGUGGUUCUGAAUGGAAGGGCCAUCGCUCAACGGAUAAAAGGUACUCCGGGGAUAACAGGCUGAUACCGCCCAAGAGUUCAUAUCGACGGCGGUGUUUGGCACCUCGAUGUCGGCUCAUCACAUCCUGGGGCUGAAGUAGGUCCCAAGGGUAUGGCUGUUCGCCAUUUAAAGUGGUACGCGAGCUGGGUUUAGAACGUCGUGAGACAGUUCGGUCCCUAUC